Long non-coding RNA from Setaria italica (foxtail millet), 1672 nucleotides. RefSeq lists it as uncharacterized. The record is from RefSeq and is a predicted model, not a curated record. The transcript has 6 exons. Lineage: Eukaryota; Viridiplantae; Streptophyta; Magnoliopsida; Poales; Poaceae.
CAUCGCUUUGCGGUCGCUGGGCUCUCUGCUUCGGGGGACCAUCCGUGCACGGACCUGUUCCUCCUUGCCGGGGAUCGCUACCCAGGGGACGCUCGGAUCGGCGGCGGGGAGGAGCGAAGCAGAUGCUCUACACGGCCUGAGGAACCUCGCCUACCUUGUGGGUGCUCGUCCCAGCUCUCCUGUCGCGGCGGCGGCGGCGGCGGCCGUUUCUGCUUUUGCAGCAUCCCAUGGCCUGCACAGCCGGGUAAAUCUGACGGCGCAGAGCGUCCGUGCCCGGGCCAGUUACUCCUCGCCGGGGAUCGUUGUCCAGGCUUCGACGGGGUCGAUGAUGGUGAAGGGAGCACGGCGUUUCCACACCUUGAGGGGUCUUGUGGCCGAACAUGCCCAUGGCGCUCCUGCUGCUCUAACUGUCGCCUUUCUCUGUAUUUGCCGGAAUUCUGUAUGUGAUUCAUACAGAUGGGUCAGACGGAUCCAGGACAGAGAAGGAGGACAUUGAGGAGGACCCCUCCAUGAGGACGGAUGCGUACCUCCGUUACAUGCAGGCGCUAAAGGACAUGGAACGCGAGACGGCGUCUUACAACAAAGCAUUGCCUGAUGGUAACAAAGCUUUGGAUCAGGAGGGGCAUGAAGGGUGAUGACGAAGCCAUGAGAGCAAGGUUCGAGGACUGGAUGAAGCAGUAUGGCCGAACGUACCAAGACGAGCAGGGUAAGGCGAGGCGGUUUAGAAUAUUUAAGGCUGUUGCAAGGUUUGUUGAUGUCGCCAAUGCUGUGGCUGACGAAUUAGGGUCUGAUGUCUGUAUGGGCCUUAAUGAAUUUGCGGAUUGGAAUGACCAAGGACUUGCUGGCAUGUGUGGCACCAAACAUAUGAGCGAAGAUCAGUACCUCAGCAUGGUCGGCGUCAAUCAGGCAUCUGAUAAGAAGGCCACGAAGCAGACGCUGCAAAAGCAGGAAUCUAAAGAUUGAGAAGGCGCGGCUGGCGAUCAUACACAAGCUGGUGCUUACCUGAAGCUCAUGGAUUGGAGGAGAAGACGAAGAUGGAGAUCAUCCUGAAACUCUCUCGGGGCUAAAUGCCGUCUGAUUAGCUUUCUGAAGAAAUAAACCUGUAUAAUCUUAGAGGUAUGGAAUAUCUUCGUGAUGAGCUCCUUUUGUUUUGUCAUUGUCUGGCUUAGAGGUAUGGAGUAUCUUUGUUUUGUUUUCCUUUAUAUACAACGAUAAUCAGCGAGCAGCUCUGGUAAAGGAAAUGGCAGUACGAGCGUUUAAGAGAAAGAAAGAACAGUUAGUACAUACGACUCAUCAGCGGUAAAUAAAGUUAAACCUCAAAGGGAUCAGCAACUAUACAAUGAUAAAUACAGCAAUAAUUUUACAAACACUACAUAAGGAGGUAACCUCAUAUGCUAGGAUUCAAAUAAAUGAAUUGCUAUCAAGAUUUUCAACUGCCACCUCAAAACAAGAAAAGUAAACUCUCGAGGAGAAGAUGGUACAAGAUCACAAUGCCUCUCCUGAUUAGUCAGUCUGGUGCCGUGUUUUACGCCUGCAAAAAUUGGGUAAGCCAAGGGAUGAUGCACUUGAUUACCAGCAUUGAGCACAAUGGCAUCACCUCCUAUGUGCACGAGAAAUGUAACUUCAUAGCGUGUGAGACCCAGCUGCACUUUGUUCUGUUAUCACAUUUUUA